CAGUGAAACCCUUCACUACGGAUCGUUCGGCACGUACCUGCCGAUGAAAGGAUGAACAA
Regulatory RNA element from Bifidobacterium psychraerophilum, 59 nucleotides. It matches the Rfam family "msiK RNA". The record is from Rfam. Lineage: Bacteria; Bacillati; Actinomycetota; Actinomycetes; Bifidobacteriales; Bifidobacteriaceae.